UUUUUUUCAAAAUCAAGUUGAUUGGUUGGUGUCACACCUUACCAAUCAAUAAAUCAAUCUAAAAUCAUAACUUCAUACAUUCAAAUUAUAAGUCAUAUGCCCUUUUGCAUUGAGGCAUCUUCAUCAAUUGUUUCUUUGUCCCCGAUGCGUUGAGAACUUUCACAAUCUAAACACAAAAUAAACAAGCAUUUUCUAGAAGAACUACGGUGCUCUGAUCCUUUAUCAAACAUGAAGGUACGUAGGCAUAG
This 248-nucleotide long non-coding RNA is filed under the name Lathyrus oleraceus (garden pea). Its description in RNAcentral is "Pisum sativum (pea) long non-coding RNA (PSAT_LNC015715)". Lineage: Eukaryota; Viridiplantae; Streptophyta; Magnoliopsida; Fabales; Fabaceae. The record is from RNAcentral.